UUGACACAUUCCAGCCAAUCAGCAGCAGACCCUCCCUCCCAUACCCUCCCACCUCCUGGACAGCUCACUAAGAAUGCAGCUUCACAAUGAAUGUAAAAUGGAUGCUGUCCAGGAGGUGGGAGGGUCUGGGAGGGAGGGUCUGCUGCUGAUUGGCUGGAAUGUGUCU
This 166-nucleotide microRNA precursor is filed under the name Pelobates cultripes (western spadefoot toad). The record is from RNAcentral. Lineage: Eukaryota; Metazoa; Chordata; Amphibia; Anura; Pelobatidae.